AAUUGCUGGUCUGAGUUCACAUACUAACAGGUGAUAAUAUCUAGGUUUUGUAAAGUUUAAAAUCUGAAAACAGACUGGAUAUGGGACCUGAAAGUAAGCAAAGGAAGAGACAUGAAAUGGAAGAGAACACAACAGGCAUCAGUUCAGCUAGAGGUCUUCCUACAUUCCAUACCCACAUAAGUACACUGCUAUUUUCAGAGAAGUGGAUGCAGAACCUUAUCAGGUAAAUAACAGGAAAAUAAGACGAAUUAUUAAUGUCAUCCUUAUUAUUUCCUCAAACAAAAUGAAAAAUGAAUGAGAAGACCCUGGCGACUUCGGAAUCCUAAGGUCUGACAUUCCAUGAUUCAGCUGGCUGUCUGGCCCAUUACUUUCCACCAUUUUCUCAGGCGCACUUUUUAAGGGUGUUUUGAACUGCUCACUUCUUCCUCCUGCUGGGAAGUUGCUGGGUUUGGCAAGCUCUCUCAAAAUACCAUAGAUCUUCAUGGCCAGCAGGUGGUGCUCUUAUUAAGCCCCUUUCACAAAGUUAACAAGAUUUUCCCCAAGGUUAUAUAUCCUCUGUAUUUCCAACUAAGGAUUAAAUGGACUUGAUUACUUGAGAUGAUGAAGAAAGCAAAGCCCCCUUCCUGCUGGAAUACUAACAGGUUAUUAUACUCUAGUCUCUCUACCUUCCACAGCCAGGCAAAGAGUUGGCUGUAACAACAGUCUCUCAAUUUCUAUCACCAAAACACACUUAAUGAGAGUGGCUGAGGUACAGUCAAGGUGUGAGACAAAACUCCAGGAUGAAGAGCAGCAGCUGGUUGUCAUUCUAACAAAUUACACAAACUGGAUAGGAAACAGCAUUAAAACUCUACUUAAAAAAAAAAAAAAAUCUGUCAUACGGGGCCAGAGAAAGUAUCACAUUCAAACAAUUUCUGUAUUUACGUUUGAUAUAAAUGUAACUAACCAUCCACAGAAAUUAAUGAGUCAAAAUCAUUUUUAACCCUGCUAUGAAAAAAAAAAAACUUGGAAAUCCUUCUUGAGUCCUCUCUUUUAACCAGUCAACUCUACUUCUAGAGAAGAGGCUGUAAAGGGUGGCCCAGUAGGCAAAUUACCACACAAGUGCUUGACCCACACAGUAGUAUGCCAAGCUGCUCUUAUUGUUAUGCUAUACAGUGAUGUACAGGGAAUCCCAAUACUUCAGGGGGUGUUAUUUACAAAGAAUAUUAUGUGAAUGGUGCCCUUUGGAGUUGGCUAUCUCUGCAACCAUGGGAGUCUUCCUAUUUCCAAAUGGACUGCAUUCUGAAUGUGGCAGCUGUUUGGAUCUAAGCAAAAUUAUUCCAACAGAAAUAAUAUUAGAUAUGGUAACCAGGUCGUCAGGUCAACCCACUGAAGUGUAAUUAAUCCACAGGCAAAUAAAAUAGUUCAUAGAGCCUCCGUGUGUGUGUGUGUGUGUGUGUAUGUAUGUGUAUAUAUAUAUAUAUAUAUAUAUAUAUUUUUUUUUUUUUUUUU
Long non-coding RNA from Cebus imitator (Panamanian white-faced capuchin), 1488 nucleotides. RefSeq lists it as uncharacterized. The transcript has 2 exons. NCBI's taxonomy places the organism in Eukaryota, Metazoa, Chordata, Mammalia, Primates, Cebidae. The record is from RefSeq and is a predicted model, not a curated record.